AAUUGACAAACAACUUUCAGCGGUGGAUGUCUAGGUUCCCACAACGAUGAAGAACGCAGCGAAAUGCGAUACGUAAUGCGAAUUGCAAGACCUCGUGAAUCAUCAAAAUUUUGAACGCACAUUGCGCUUUCGGGUUUUACCCGGUAGCAUGCUUGUCUGAGUGUCUGUGAA
Molecule: ribosomal RNA, 171 nt
Filed under: Tryblionella compressa
Lineage: Eukaryota; Bacillariophyta; Bacillariophyceae; Bacillariales; Bacillariaceae
Description: 5.8S ribosomal RNA
Rfam family: 5.8S ribosomal RNA
About the family: 5.8S ribosomal RNA (5.8S rRNA) is a component of the large subunit of the eukaryotic ribosome. It is transcribed by RNA polymerase I as part of the 45S precursor that also contains 18S and 28S rRNA.
Source: RNAcentral